RNAcentral lists this ribosomal RNA (497 nucleotides) under uncultured bacterium. RNAcentral describes it as "partial 16S ribosomal RNA". It matches the Rfam family "Bacterial small subunit ribosomal RNA", at positions 28 to 507 of the family's 1533-position model. The record is from RNAcentral.
GAUGAACGCUGGCGGCGUGCCUAAUACAUGCAAGUCGAGCGAACAGAUGAGGAGCUUGCUCCUCUGACGUUAGCGGCGGACGGGUGAGUAACACGUGGAUAACCUACCUAUAAGACUGGGAUAACUUCGGGAAACCGGAGCUAAUACCGGAUAAUAUAUUGAACCGCAUGGUUCAAUAGUGAAAGACGGUUUUGCUGUCACUUAUAGAUGGAUCCGCGCCGCAUUAGCUAGUUGGUAAGGUAACGGCUUACCAAGGCUACGAUGCGUAGCCGACCUGAGAGGGUGAUAGGCGACAUUGGAACGGAGACACGGUCAAGACGCCUAAGGGAGGCAGCAGUAGGGAAUCGUCCGCAAUGGGCGAAAGCCUGACGGAGCAACGCGGCGUGAGUGAUGAAGGUCUUCGGAUCGUAAAACUCUGUUAUGAGGGAAGAACAAAUGUGUAAGUAACUAUGCACGUCUUGACGGUACCUAAUCAGAAAGCCACGGCUAACUACGUG